This is a long non-coding RNA of Daphnia pulex (common water flea), 1516 nucleotides long. RefSeq lists it as uncharacterized. NCBI's taxonomy places the organism in Eukaryota, Metazoa, Arthropoda, Branchiopoda, Diplostraca, Daphniidae. The record is from RefSeq and is a predicted model, not a curated record. The transcript has 3 exons.
GGGACAUGUUGAGUGCCGCGGCCAACUCGUUGACGUCGUUGCUACCAAGAUAAGGAGACUGCAGAAACUUUCUCUCCAAUGCCCCCACCUCUGUUGUAGAGAAGGGUAUGCGCGGAUUACGUGUUACAAAUGACUCACGUGGAAGCUUCGGAGGUCGGUAGCGUGUACAAUAGACCCAGGAAAAGUUGGGAUCGCUGUGAUCGCUGAUGGACCUCGACUUGGAUUCGGAGGUGAAGAUUUCCGAUGAAGUGACAACAAUCGCUGAUGGUGUAGAUGUUCGAGACGAUAGGAUUGCUUCAAUGCUGAAAUCAACUUUCGGUUUCGGCCUAACGGUAAUUAACUCGAUUGGUUUGUCUACAGCAGCCAUGAAAACUCCUUCUUGCGGCAGUCUGUUUCUAACAAUGUUUUUAUUAAUCGUGGACUCCUCUGUUGUGGAACCUUCUUGAUUAAUUUCCUGCUCUUUGUUGAUCAUUUCGGAAUCCAUCUUCUAGGUUCGAAAUAAUGCACACGUCUAAAUAGAUUUGCUUGAGUAAGAGCUCCGACAACUCAACAUCACUGGGCGACAAUCUUGCUAACUAAUGAAACCGAUGGCUGACCCGCGAACGGCUUUGGUUUUCCUUAGUCGACAAGAUAGAUGUAUCAAAGGGAGGAGCUUGCAACUAGCACCCUCAAUAACCAGUGUUACUGGAAGACUAGGCUAUCAUAUCACAUUGGUUUCGGGGGAUGUAAAGCGAGAAGAAUGGUAUGGCUUUUUCAUGCUGUGAUCAUUGAGGUGAAUAGCAUCGAAAUAGACAGCGGAGGUAAUUGGUAGGCCACCUAUACAUCUGCCCGAUGGCUAUGAGCUAACAAGUACAGAUGCAGCCGCCACGGUUGAUGGACAGUGAUUUCACAUGCCGCACCCGCACACCCUAUAUUGUGUUAUAGCUAUGCCGAACUAAGCAACAGAGUAUUAUUUCCCCGCAAAAUUGAAAAUUUUUGCACUUGUGUUCUGAAAGAUUCAUAAAAGAAGCAAACGAACAAAGUUUUUUAAAUAUAAGGGGUAAUGCUAUAAACGGAAAACUUGGCAAAGUUCUGUUAUUUCCAUGAAUUUGUAUGAGUUAGUCCCAAUUUAGUUUGUAGUCAUCGACUUGAAUAUCAUCACUUUAUCUGCGGGUAACUACGGGUAAGACUAAAGACGAACAAGAUAUAGCUGUAGCCGUAUUCACUCGUCAAUUAUAUAGAUUUAUCAUUGUUGUUAUUUAAUAUAGGAUGUUUUCGUCUGAUUUUAACCAAUUUUAACAAGGUACCAAAGAUGCAUUUUACUAUUUUCGGUCAUCGUGCUGAUUACACACAGUUUUAUAUCUACCCAUGCAAACUGUGAUGCAACUCGACGAGGCAGUCCACUAAUUAAGCCAUCUAGAUAAUUACAACACUUAAACAGCGUAUUUCUAUUUGUAUUAACCUGCUAACUUCAAAUCUAAAAAAAAAAACUGUAAAGAGAAUGAAGUUCACUUGCUAGAAUUAUACAAAUUUACCG